UUUUUACAAUUAGUUCUGCUCGAGAGCUCUGAAACAAAGAGAAAUUUCGAUUUCUCUUUGUUUCAGAGCUGUCGAGCAGAACUAAUUG
Molecule: non-coding RNA, 88 nt
Organism: Paramuricea clavata
Lineage: Eukaryota; Metazoa; Cnidaria; Anthozoa; Malacalcyonacea; Plexauridae
Source: the annotation of a GenBank genome assembly